CCUACGGGAGGCAGCAGUGAGGAAUAUUGGUCAAUGGACGAGAGUCUGAACCAGCCAAGUAGCGUGAAGGAUGAAUGCCCAAUGGGUUGUAAACUUCUUUUAUAAGGGAAUAAAACGAGGCACGUGUGCCUUUAUGCAUGUACUUUAUGAAUAAGGAUCGGCUAACUCCGUGCCAGCAGCCGCGGUAAUACGGAGGAUCCGAGCGUUAUCCGGAUUUAUUGGGUUUAAAGGGUGCGUAGAUGGGUUGUUAAGUCAGUUGUGAAAGUUUCGGGCUCAACCGUAAAAUUGCAAUUGAUACUGGCAGUUUUGAGUACAGUUGAGGUAUGCGGAAUGCGUGGUGUAGCGGUGAAAUGCUUAGAUAUCACGAAGAACCCCGAUUGCGAAGGCAGCUUACUAAACUGUGACUGACAUUGAUGCUCGAAAGUGUGGGUAUCAAACAGGAUUAGAUACCCGUGUAGUC
This 460-nucleotide ribosomal RNA is filed under the name uncultured bacterium. RNAcentral describes it as "partial 16S ribosomal RNA". It matches the Rfam family "Bacterial small subunit ribosomal RNA", at positions 338 to 795 of the family's 1533-position model. The record is from RNAcentral.